CCUACGGGUGGCUGCAGUGAGGAAUAUUGGUCAAUGGACGAGAGUCUGAACCAGCCAAGUAGCGUGAAGGAUGACUGCCCUAUGGGUUGUAAACUUCUUUUAUAUGGGAAUAAAAUGAUCCACGUGUGGGAUUUUGUAUGUACUAUAUGAAUAAGGAUCGGCUAACUCCGUGCCAGCAGCCGCGGUAAUACGGAGGAUCCGAGCGUUAUCCGGAUUUAUUGGGUUUAAAGGGAGCGUAGGUGGAUUGUUAAGUCAGUUGUGAAAGUUUGCGGCUCAACCGUAAAAUUGCAGUUGAAACUGGCAGUCUUGAGUACAGUAGAGGUAGGCGGAAUUCGUGGUGUAGCGGUGAAAUGCUUAGAUAUCACGAAGAACUCUGAUUGCGAAGGCAGUUCACUGGACUGCAACUGACACUGAGGCUCGAAAGUGUGGGUAUCAAACAGGAUUAGAUACCCUAGUAGUC
Molecule: ribosomal RNA, 460 nt
Filed under: uncultured bacterium
Lineage: Bacteria
Description: partial 16S ribosomal RNA
Rfam family: Bacterial small subunit ribosomal RNA
Source: RNAcentral